Molecule: ribosomal RNA, 502 nt
Filed under: uncultured Acidobacteriota bacterium
Lineage: Bacteria; Pseudomonadati; Acidobacteriota
Description: bacterial SSU rRNA
Rfam family: Bacterial small subunit ribosomal RNA
Source: RNAcentral
UACGAAGUAGGCUUCCGCAAGGACACCUGUAGAGGUGCUGCAUGGCUGUCGUCAGCUCGUGUCGUGAGAUGUUGGGUUAAGUCCCGCAACGAGCGCAACCCUUGUCUUCUGUUGCCAUCGGGUCAAGCCGGGCACUCUGAAGAGACUGCCGGUGACAAACCGGAGGAAGGUGGGGAUGACGUCAAGUCAGCAUGGCCUUUAUGUCUGGGGCCACACACGUGCUACAAUGGCCGGUACAAACCGUCGCGAGCCCGCGAGGGGGAGCUAAUCGGAUAAAGCCGGUCUCAGUUCGGAUUGCAGGCUGCAACUCGCCUGCAUGAAGUUGGAAUCGCUAGUAAUCGCGGAUCAGCACGCCGCGGUGAAUACGUUCCCGGGCCUUGUACACACCGCCCGUCACAUCACGAAAGCUGGCUGUACUAGAAGUAGCUGCGCCAACCCGCAAGGGAGGCAGGUUCCUAAGGUAUGGUCAGUGAUUGGGGUGAAGUCGUAACAAGGUAACCGU